CCUACGGGUGGCAGCAGUGAGGAAUAUUGGUCAAUGGCCGAGAGGCUGAACCAGCCAAGUCGCGUGAGGGAAGACGGCCCUACGGGUUGUAAACCUCUUUUGUCGGGGAGCAAAGCGAACCAGGUGUGGUUCCUUGAGAGUACCCGAAGAAAAAGCAUCGGCUAACUCCGUGCCAGCAGCCGCGUUAAUCGGGAGGAUGCGAGCGUUAUCCGGAUUUAUUGGGUUUAAAGGGUGAGCUGGCGGAGGUGCAAGUCAGCGGUAAAAUUGCGGGGCUCAACCCCGGACUGCCGUUGAAACUGGAGCCCUUGAGUGCGCGAGAAGUAUGCGGAAUGCGUGGUGUAGCGGUGAAAUGCAUAGAUAUCACGCAGAACUCCGAUUGCGAAGGCAGCAUACCGGAGCGCAACUGACGCUGAUGCACGAAAGCGUGGGUAUCGAACAGGAUUAGAUACCCCGGUAGUC
This 459-nucleotide ribosomal RNA is filed under the name uncultured bacterium. Its description in RNAcentral is "partial 16S ribosomal RNA". It matches the Rfam family "Bacterial small subunit ribosomal RNA", at positions 338 to 795 of the family's 1533-position model. The record is from RNAcentral.